Candidatus Curtissbacteria bacterium is the source of this 88-nucleotide non-coding RNA. The record is from Rfam. Lineage: Bacteria; Candidatus Curtissiibacteriota.
GGAGGAGUACCCAAGAGGUCGUACGGGCACCGUCUCGAAAACGGUUGGGGCCGCAAGGCUCACGUGGGUUCGAAUCCCACCUCCUCCG